Molecule: long non-coding RNA, 631 nt
Filed under: Macaca mulatta (Rhesus monkey)
Lineage: Eukaryota; Metazoa; Chordata; Mammalia; Primates; Cercopithecidae
Description: lncRNA (ENSMMUG00000049347.1)
Source: RNAcentral
CUUGUUCGUAAUGACGUCUGUUCAGAGAGCCAAUCCCAGUCUCGCGACUCCUGCUUGCUGGGCGCGGCCCGGGCCUCCAGGCUCCGCGGCGCAGCCGCUAUCAGGCGGAGUGCAGUUUUUACCGAGCAGCCAGCUACUGAAAAUUACCAAGGAGAGGUAGGAGAUAAGGAGCUGAAAUCUACCAGGGUGUCUGUCUUAAUCCUAAGGAAUCAACUGCUAUACCUUAAUGAGUUCAAUGUAAUUCUUCGGUCUGUAAGUCAUUCUUGCCACUGUGGUUCUGGGGCCAUUGUUCUGCAAGGAUGAAUAAACAAUGUUUUAAAAAUCAUUCAUCCAAGAAAGGUGGCAAGAUACUGGAAUAGAGGUAUUUGAAAAAUAUUCAUAGGAAUUUUAGAGUAUUGUAGAUGGUCUGAAUACCUGUGAAGACAUAAUCUAAUGUAUCUAAAAACCACGUAAUGCUUCAUCUCAAUGUAUUUUAAGAAUUAAUUUUGUUACAAGCUAGAAUUUUUUGUUUUGGUUUUAAUAAUAACAUCAAAAGGUUUUUUAACAUAAAUUAAAAAGGGCAUACAUGGAAAAGUAAAGAAAUUUUUCUUGAGAUUAGCCAAAAAGCAGUGAGAGAUUACGUAUUUCCUUA